GGUCUGUCUGUCUCAACUUGCAGUAGGAAGAAGCCGGAAGUGGGCAACAUAUCUCUUUCUUACGUGCACACUGAAUCAGGCAGAAGCAGGAGUGUGUGGGUACAGUCUUUUUUUCUAAAGAAGGCUGCUCAUUUAGGAAGAAAAAGCCCUACUGGAAACAAUGAACCCAGAAUUAAAAGCAGAGAGGAGCUCAAAGCUGUAAUACCCUAGUAAUAAUUUUGGCACACCUUCCAUUCUAUGCCCAUCAUUAUCUGGGUAUUGCCAAGCUGUGGCACCAAGCAAAGCCCAGUAUGUGUGCCUUCCUGGAAUAUUUGCGAUACCACUUGACCUGCAAGGGUGCUAAUUGUUGUGAUUCAUGUUCCUCACCCCUUCCUUCUCUACUUAGCACCUUGCUUAAAUUGCUACAUCCCAGCCACAUGGUAGGCAACUGUGAGGCAACCCUAAAACUAAAAUAGUGCUUAUCUUCUAUUUAGUUUUAAUUAUUUGCCACAUUUAGUUUUGGUUAUUAUAAAGUAAUGAUAAAUGCAUAUAUCUAGUGCAUCACAAAUGUAUGUUUUGCUUGAGAUUUCUAGCUCACCCAAAGCAACAGCAGAGAUUGAGUUCUGAUUUCAUUUUGCAAGGGCCCCAUUUAAAGGUUCAAGAAUAUGGCUUAACUGUUCAUUGUUACCAGUUUGGAUGUGAGCAGAAAGACUGGAGAUUUUACACACACACACACACACACACACACACACACACCAUUUUGUAAAAGCAAAACAAAGCAAAAAAGAAAAAGAAAAGAGCUUGCUAUUGAUUAUACUUCUGGAUUAUUGCUUGCUUUUUAUUCUCCAGUCAAAGCACUAUCUGGCUUGUCAUUGUGCGUUGCCAGUCUAUUUCUCAACACACCUGGCUAUUGUGCAUCAUACUGUGUUCUAUUAAAUUGUAUUAAGUGUAGACAUUUUACAUCGCCUCCUGAUUCACUUGUUCACACUAAGCUAUGGUAUGGCUUAACAUUACAUGCAAACAAGGACACUAGUAUUUCUGUUCCCACCAGUAUCUAGGAGAACACUAAUCUUUGUAACUGUGAAUCUCUGAUUCACAGCAAAGGGGAUGAAAUUCAGCUCAGUUUGCAUUUUUAUUUCAACUUGCCUUAUUCACACUUCCUGAAACAGCGCACAAACCAAAACACAGUUGUUCUUCAAAAUCCACACUUCGUCCAAUUUGGCAAUGCCUUUCUGUACUCAGCACAUGUAUACUAGGAGAAAUGUGUGUAAAAAUGUAUUUUAAAGUGAAAAUAACACAAAAAUGCAUUCUAUUUGUGCUAACUGCUUGCAAAUCAAUCAAUCAAUCAAUCAAUCAGGAGCUGUGCCCUUUAAAAUGCUGAUCCUCCACCCCGAAAUCUUUAUAAAAAUUCACAAAGUGAUGCAGAAAUUUGAAGAGCUAAAUUUAAGAUUGGAAAAAUGAGCAACUGAGAGAAACAGAAGUUGACAGAUCCCUAGUUGGGACGGAGCUUUGCGUCACAGAGAUCAGUUGAAAUCCUAAAAUAUUUACCUAAAAUGAUCACAUCCACACCAUACAUUUAAAACACAUUUACAGCACACAGUUUCUCCCAAAGAAUCCUGUAACAAAUCAUUCAAAAACUAUAGGUCCCAGGAUUCUUUGUGGGGUGUCACAUGCUUCAAAUGUGCUUUAAAAGAGAUUAGCCUUAAAGCUACACAGUUUUUGAUGUUCUUAAGGCUUUUCACUUCCAGCACCCUUAACUUCAGGCUGGGUUGCAGCCAUUAUCCUACUUCCUCAGACAAAUGAAUACAUAGAGUGAGGUGGUUGGGGGGGAGAGAGAAUGUGAACUUAGGUAAAAUCUACUACUACUACUGAUUUCUUUUAAAAUCACAUGUUUAAUGUGGGUGGGGUUUUUUGUAUUCUUAAACUGGUUUCACACUCUUGAACCCUGUCAAGAAGUGCCUCAGAAUCCUGGAUGCUAUCCAAAGGACCGUAGUUUGAGCAACAAUGAAUAUUCUUUAGUUUAUAUUUGCAGAUAUUAGGAUGAAGGGUUACACACACACACAUAUUUACAUGGGAUUACUCAAUUUGUUGACCAAUCUUCUCUUGCGUUUUGUGUAUGCUUAGGAGUCAUGGUGUGGUCAGCAUAAGCAAAUACUUGGAGCGGAUUUGCAACACACUUUUCUCAAAGCCCUGUUGAGCUUAAUGUUUUGUUUAAUGCCAAAGAGGAAGUAGAAAUAUAUUUUUCCCCCAUUUCACUAGCAGGUGCUCUGUAAUUGUAGCUUAUAAAUAUUUUAUCAGCGUAAAGUCUAAGGGAAAGUCCCACUCUGGCCCACUCUGAAGAAGAGCAACAUGAUUCAUGUUGAACAUGAGCAUCACUCUCCACCACCACCUGUAUAUUGCACACAUAGUUGAAAGUUUGUUACUAAACAUCUUGAUAAAGCAGAAUACAUGCCUCAACAUUGCAAGUCAUUUUUCCCAACUAAAACACUCACUUGCACCACAUGCUUGUGUGAAGUGUUCCAUUCCAUUUCCCAGAAUGCUUCUUAAAUCCUCUGAAAAUAGAAUAAUGGUAACCAUGGAGGAUUCUAGCAAUCAACGUGAUAUAAAAUGACCAUGGCCAGACAACCAGUAAAGCUUAAGAAAUGUGUAUCUCAUCUGGGCCAAAUAUAAUGAGUAGUGGUUUGUGAAUUUAAAAUGUGACUAUUAAAAGUAAACAAUUUCAUUUUUAUUCCAAGGUUGCAUGGAACUGGAUCAAUUCACUCACUGGAUCAAUAUGGACUCAUAUCCAGGACCAUCCCACUGGCAUCAGAUUCUGCACCUGUCCCUUCAAAGCCUGAGGAUGCACCUUUGCAUGUGAAUAAUCAACUAUUGAUGCCUCUGAGGGUCAAGAAAGCCUUGUGGAGUCUCCACAAACCAAGUCCUCAUAGCCCAGUCUCACCACCUAGGAGCUAACAGCUGCACCAAAGGACUUUGGCCCUUUAACUGGCAUGUUGCAGCACACAGAAAGCAGGAUUUCAUUCAUGAUCCUUCGGGUCAGGCUAUAAAGGUAGCGCUGAGGCAGCUCAUUCCUUCUGCUCUCCAUCACAGAAAUGUUGCUUAACUGCUUACCCUUGUUCCUGUCCAGGGUCCUGACCUCACCCUAGCAUGAAGCUGGCUCAGGAAGUCCUUCUUUCCACCAUAUUCCUCGGGCCUUUGCCUCAGCUUGGAAAAAUAAUCUAAGCUCGUCCAAUUGUGAGUCGGGGAAGACUUCAAGCAAUGGGAGACCUUUGUGCAAGUUGCCUUUGUGUGUCAUGUACUGCAGGAGAGCUAAGCUGAAUUAUAUAUGUAUGGUUGGCAUAAUUUACGUAGUACUUUUGCUGCAAACUUCCUUCACUUUAUCCCACCAAUCCUCAGUUUCCUCUUCUUCCACCUUCCCUUUUCCUGUAAAUUUCCCCUGAAGUAUCUUUAUUGUAAUUUCUGUAGUCAUAUACUGCAUCAUAUGUUGCUUAUAUAUAGGUAAUACCAUAUACAAUUUGGG
This 3496-nucleotide long non-coding RNA is filed under the name Podarcis lilfordi (Lilford's wall lizard). Lineage: Eukaryota; Metazoa; Chordata; Lepidosauria; Squamata; Lacertidae. The record is from RNAcentral.